UGGGGAAUAUUGCACAAUGGGCGCAAGCCUGAUGCAGCCAUGCCGCGUGUAUGAAGAAGGCCUUCGGGUUGUAAAGUACUUUCAGCGGGGAGGAAGGCGAUAAGGUUAAUAACCAUGUCGAUUGACGUUACCCGCAGAAGAAGCACCGGCUAACUCCGUGCCAGCAGCCGCGGUAAUACGGAGGGUGCAAGCGUUAAUCGGAAUUACUGGGCGUAAAGCGCACGCAGGCGGUCUGUCAAGUCGGAUGUGAAAUCCCCGGGCUCAACCUGGGAACUGCAUUCGAAACUGGCAGGCUAGAGUCUUGUAGAGGGGGGUAGAAUUCCAGGUGUAGCGGUGAAAUGCGUAGAGAUCUGGAGGAAUACCGGUGGCGAAGGCGGCCCCCUGGACAAAGACUGACGCUCAGGUGCGAAAGCGUGGGGAGCAAACA
Molecule: ribosomal RNA, 427 nt
Filed under: uncultured bacterium
Lineage: Bacteria
Description: partial 16S ribosomal RNA
Rfam family: Bacterial small subunit ribosomal RNA
Source: RNAcentral